GUUUUGCGGCAAUGGCAACAAGCUGUAAAUCGCAUUUCGCAGUCAGAUUUUGGCCAUUUCCGAGUUUAGGUGAAGACUGAAGAUUGUAAAUAUGUGUUUAAUUUGUUCAAAGCAGAGAAACUAUACUUCAAAUAGCGAUUUGUAGCCGGGUUUCUCUCAACUAGAAAGCGUUUCCAAAGAUGUCCCUUAUUCCUAAAUUUGUUGUUUGAAACAUUUUUACUUCCUAUAAGUAAGAAAAAUGGUUUCCUCAAUGCUUACACGCUUGCGGAAACUGGGAAACGUUUCAUGAACCAUCAAGAAUUACAAAUGCAUGUUUCAGCUACAAUUAUGUAUUCAAGUUGGGAAAUAUAAUGUUUUAAAAAGGUCUGCAAUCAUUCAAGUAUAUCAAAUACACGAACUGAUAACCUGCACGAAACCUGUUGUGUUUACAAAGGAAACUUGUCGUUUUUCCAACAUUUUCGUUCCGUGCAACUUGACCUUAACGCGUUGCAUGAUCACAUGUACUACUUUUUUGUUCUCCGGAAUUUCGUACGCGGCGUCAAAGCAGUGGAGAGUUUUCAAUUUCUAAUUGCCUGAAUACAUCCAUUUGGAAGCAUGAGAAAAAAUAAGUCAUAAAAUUAUUAAUAAACACUGUUUUUAAUUACUGCUAAAUCCCAUUGCUUUGUUAAAAAUUUUGACUCCAAGCAACGAUAUUUAAAUCACAAAGCAGAAUACAUAAAUUCAUAGCUAUGGUUUUCAGACUUUUCUUAAAUUGUUUUCAAAACGGUUUUCAUUUAAAUCUCCCAUUCAUGGCGCCUUUUGUCGCGUUGUUUACCUCGAUCCAACAAAACUACGCAAAUUUAAUCUAUUUUCUACAGCUGCUCAGCUAAAAUAAAAUUAAAUUGUCAAAGCAAAUUUCAUAAUAAGGCCGUGACACAAUCAAGGGAACUCGAAAGUGUAUAUUUUGUAUUAAGUUUAAUAGUUUAUUUUGGAGUUUUUUUUUCAACUCGACUGCAUCAAUUUUCGAAGACAAUAGAUAACAGUUUCCCGAUAAACUUGCUGCAAUUAUAUCUUCAAGGAAUUCUUGUGAAGCAUAGUCGUAAGUGCUCUAAGGCUGUUGAUAAUUUUUAUAUCUUUGAGACUGCUAUCGCCGUUACAAUCAUUUUCGCAGCUGAUUAAUUCUUAAACUGGUAAUCCGAUUUGUAUAACCGGCGACAUCUUCGUCAAACGAAGGAUUUUUGAAAAAAAACCGAUUCAAAUCCGGUGAGUUUAAUGUUUAUUAUGAAUUUUUUUCGUUUGUAAAAAAAUGGGUUUGUAACAGUGCACUAACAUUGAUGCACAGACAAUGCGUUCUGUGAAGAUUAAUUUGGAUAUGUGAAUAUGUUUAAUAUGCACUGUUUUAUACAUCCUCAUAUAUUGUAGAGCUGCAAUUUACUCCGGAGGCUGUCAAAGGAUUUAUCUAGCCGCUGUGUAGUGUGUAUAGAAUCUUGAGACAUGAUAAAAAUUCCGAACAUUACCGGAGGGUAUGUGUGUAUAACGUGGAUCAUAUUAGGACUUUUUGGUCAACUUGGGAACACCCUUUUCCGAGGAAAAUGUCAAAAUGACGGAUACUUCCAAUUCGUAAUGGACAAUUCCCGUCUCAAGCAUUACGUCAUUUCCACGCACGACGUCCUCUCGCUUCAAGACUGUGUCGCCGAAUGUCUCAGCGAGGCCCGCUGCAGUUCGUGUAACUUUCAAGUCAGCGGCAUUCCGCUUCACAAAUGUGAACUGAACACUAAGUCAAGAUCUUCCGCGCGACCUGGGAGCCUGAUACGAGAGAAUGGAUUCCAGUAUUACGAGAUCAAGGACUCU
Molecule: long non-coding RNA, 1830 nt
Filed under: Dendronephthya gigantea
Lineage: Eukaryota; Metazoa; Cnidaria; Anthozoa; Malacalcyonacea; Nephtheidae
Description: uncharacterized LOC114529117
Source: RNAcentral